RNAcentral lists this ribosomal RNA (253 nucleotides) under uncultured bacterium. Its description in RNAcentral is "partial 16S ribosomal RNA". It matches the Rfam family "Bacterial small subunit ribosomal RNA", at positions 524 to 776 of the family's 1533-position model. The record is from RNAcentral.
GACGAAGGGGGCUAGCGUUGUUCGGAAUUACUGGGCGUAAAGCGCGUGUAGGCGGUUGUCCAAGUCGGGUGUGAAAGCCUUGAGCUCAACUCAAGAAAUGCACUCGGUACUGGGUGACUAGAGGACCGGAGAGGAUAGUGGAAUUCCCAGUGUAGUGGUGAAAUACGUAGAGAUUGGGAAGAACACCAGUGGCGAAGGCGGCUAUCUGGACGGUUUCUGACGCUAAGACGCGAAAGCGUGGGGAGCAAACAGG